Hemicordylus capensis (graceful crag lizard) is the source of this 387-nucleotide long non-coding RNA. RefSeq lists it as uncharacterized. Lineage: Eukaryota; Metazoa; Chordata; Lepidosauria; Squamata; Cordylidae. The transcript has 2 exons. The record is from RefSeq and is a predicted model, not a curated record.
GAUCCAGCAGGGCUUUUCUUAUGUUUACCCUUUCUCAGACGAGGAGAAGUCUUGGAUUGCCACUCUUCCCUGAGGCGUGAACAAGCAAAGGCGGUGGGGAACCAAUACUGACAAUUAGGGGUAACUUUGAACUCGCAGUAAAGCCUCAGAAAACCCACAGUAAAACCAGCUGUCCGGGAAAGCUCCAGAAGAGACCUCUGCCCAGGAAUCUGGAGAUCCACAGUCAGAGAGGAAAAACAUACUGGGCUAGAUGGACCAGUGGUUGGAUGAAAUGUGUUCACAUAAAAUGGAGGGCAACCAAAAUAAUAUCCUUUUGAACUGAGCAAGCAUGUUGUCAAGCAGUGUAAUCUCAAUGAGACAAAUAUAUUGCAGGUGUUCUUUUAUCCA